RNAcentral lists this ribosomal RNA (468 nucleotides) under uncultured bacterium. RNAcentral's name for it is "partial 16S ribosomal RNA". It matches the Rfam family "Bacterial small subunit ribosomal RNA", at positions 28 to 507 of the family's 1533-position model. The record is from RNAcentral.
GACGAACGCUGGCGGCGUGCUUAACACAUGCAAGUCGAACGGAAAGGCCCUGCUUUUGUGGGGUGCUCGAGUGGCGAACGGGUGAGUAACACGUGAGUAACCUGCCCUUGACUUUGGGAUAACUUCAGGGAACUGGGGCUAAUACCGGAUAGGAGCUCCUGCUGCAUGGUGGGGGUUGGAAAGUUUCGGCGGUUGGGGAUGGACUCGCGGCUUAUCAGCUUGUUGGUGGGGUAGUGGCUUACCAAGGCUUUGACGGGUAGCCGGCCUGAGAGGGUGACCGGACACAUUGGGACUGAGAUACGGCACAGACUCCUACGGGAGGCAGGAGUGGGGAAUAUUGCACAAUGGGCGGAAGCCUGAUGCAGCAACGCCGCGUGCGGGAUGACGGCAUUCGGGUUGUAAACCGCUUUCGCCUGUGAAGAAGUGUGAGUGACGGUAAUGGGUAAAGAAGCACCGGCUAACUACGUG